AGCAGCGUGGCUCAGUGGAAAGAGCAUGGGCUUGGGAGUCAGAGGUCAUGGGUUCAAAUCCCAGCUUUGCCA
RNAcentral lists this transfer RNA (72 nucleotides) under Ornithorhynchus anatinus (platypus). It matches the Rfam family "tRNA". Rfam says of the family: Transfer RNA (tRNA) molecules are approximately 80 nucleotides in length. Their secondary structure includes four short double-helical elements and three loops (D, anti-codon, and T loops). Lineage: Eukaryota; Metazoa; Chordata; Mammalia; Monotremata; Ornithorhynchidae. The record is from Rfam by way of RNAcentral.